AGAGUUUGAUCCUGGCUCAGGACGAACGCUGGCGGCGUGCCUAACACAUGCAAGUCGAGCGGAGAGAGGCGGAUGGUAACUGAAGCUGAUCUUAGCGGCGGACGGGUGAGUAACACGUGGGCAACCUGCCCUGUACAGGGGGAUAACACAGAGAAAUUUGUGCUAAUACCGCAUAACAUCAUUGAGAUGCAUGUCUUGAUGAUCAAAGGAGCAAUCCGGUAUGGGAUGGGCCCGCGCCUGAUUAGCUAGUUGGUGAGGUAACGGCUCACCAAGGCGACGAUCAGUAGCCGACCUGAGAGGGUGAUCGGCCACACUGGAACUGAGACACGGUCCAGACUCCUACGGGAGGCAGCAGUGGGGAAUAUUGCGCAAUGGGGGAAACCCUGACGCAGCAACGCCGCGUGGAGGAAGAAGGUAUUCGUAUUGUAAACUCCUGUCUUCUGGGACGAAAAAAAUAACGGUACCGAGGAAGGAAGCCCCGGCUAACCUAGUGCCAGCAGCCGUGGUA
RNAcentral lists this ribosomal RNA (508 nucleotides) under uncultured Bacillota bacterium. Its description in RNAcentral is "bacterial SSU rRNA". It matches the Rfam family "Bacterial small subunit ribosomal RNA", at positions 8 to 522 of the family's 1533-position model. The record is from RNAcentral. Lineage: Bacteria; Bacillati; Bacillota.